UGGGAAGUCUUGCGCAAUGGGCGAAAGCCUGACGCAGCAACGCCGCGUGCGGGAUGAAGGCCCUCGGGUUGUAAACCGCUUUCAGUGGGGACGAAUCAAGACGGUACCACAGAAGAAGCCCGGCCAACUACGUGCCAGCAGCCGCGGUAACACGUAGGGGCGAAGCGUUGUCCGGAAUUUAUUGGGCGUAAAUGAGCUCGUAGGUGGUUCGAUAAGUCGGGUGUGAAACCUCCAGGCUCAACCUGGAGACGCCACCCGAUACUGUCGUGACUAGAGUCCAGUAGGGAGCGUGGAAUUCCUGGUGUAGCGGUGAAAUGCGCAGAUAUCAGGAGGAACACCAGCGGCGAAGGCGGCGCUCUGGGCUGGCACUGACACUGAGGAGCGAAAGCGUGGGGAGCGAACA
RNAcentral lists this ribosomal RNA (403 nucleotides) under uncultured Acidimicrobiales bacterium. RNAcentral's name for it is "bacterial SSU rRNA". It matches the Rfam family "Bacterial small subunit ribosomal RNA", at positions 355 to 774 of the family's 1533-position model. Lineage: Bacteria; Bacillati; Actinomycetota; Acidimicrobiia; Acidimicrobiales. The record is from RNAcentral.